UCUCAGAUGGUCCAGUGGCUAAGAUUUCCGCCUGUCAUUGGUUGCUCGCGGACGACCGGGGUUCGAUUCCCCGUCUGAGAG
Molecule: non-coding RNA, 81 nt
Organism: Arthrobotrys musiformis
Lineage: Eukaryota; Fungi; Ascomycota; Orbiliomycetes; Orbiliales; Orbiliaceae
Source: the annotation of a GenBank genome assembly